RNAcentral lists this ribosomal RNA (497 nucleotides) under uncultured bacterium. RNAcentral describes it as "partial 16S ribosomal RNA". It matches the Rfam family "Bacterial small subunit ribosomal RNA", at positions 28 to 507 of the family's 1533-position model. The record is from RNAcentral.
GAUGAACGCUGGCGGCGUGCCUAAUACAUGCAAGUAGAACGCUGAAGCUUGGUGCUUGCACCGAGCGGAUGAGUUGCGAACGGGUGAGUAACGCGUAGGUAACCUGCCUCUUAGCGGGGGAUAACUAUUGGAAACGAUAGCUAAUACCGCAUAAAAGUCGAUAUCGCAUGAUAUUGAUUUGAAAGGUGCAAAUGCAUCACUAAGAGAUGGACCUGCGUUGUAUUAGCUAGUUGGUGAGGUAACGGCUCACCAAGGCGACGAUACAUAGCCGACCUGAGAGGGUGAUCGGCCCCACUGGGACUGAGACACGGCCCAGACCCCUACGGGAGGCAGCAGUAGGGAAUCUUCGGCAAUGGGGGCAACCCUGACCGAGCAACGCCGCGUGAGUGAAGAAGGUUUUCGGAUCGUAAAGCUCUGUUGUAAGAGAAGAACGAGUGUGAGAGUGGAAAGUUCACACUGUGACGGUAACUUACCAGAAAGGGACGGCUAACUACGUG